This 240-nucleotide long non-coding RNA is filed under the name Cervus elaphus hippelaphus. It matches the Rfam family "7SK RNA", at positions 1 to 241 of the family's 331-position model. From Rfam's summary of the family: 7SK was discovered as an abundant small nuclear RNA in the mid-70s but a possible function has only recently been suggested. Two independent studies have found that 7SK RNA binds the CDK9/cyclin T complex (known as elongation factor P-TEFb). Lineage: Eukaryota; Metazoa; Chordata; Mammalia; Artiodactyla; Cervidae. The record is from RNAcentral.
GGGCGUGACGGUGAGCUGGUUGCAACAUCUGUCACCCCGCUGAUCGCCAGGGUGACUUGGCUGACCUUGCUGCCUAGAGGUCUGUCCCCUUCCUUCCUCACCGCUCCACGGGUAUCCCUCCCGAAGCUACAAGCUCGGUUGAAGAGGAUGACCAUCCCUGAUAGAGGAGGAUCAGGCUUUGGUCAAGGGUGUACCAGUAGCUGUGCUCCCCUGCUAGAACCUCCAAACAAGCUCUCAAGG